UUUCCGGUUGAUCCUGCCGGACCUGACUGCUAUCGGAUUGAUACUAAGCCAUGCGAGUCUUUGUAGUAAUACAAGGCAUACGGCUCAGUAACGCGUAGUCAACCUACCCUAUGGACAAGAAUAAUCUCGGGAAACUGAGCAUAAUUCUUGAUAGAUCAUAAUGCCUGGAAUGGUUUAUGGUUAAAAUGAUUCGUCGCCAUAGGAUGGGACUGCGGCCUAUCAGCUUGUUGGUGAGGUAAUGGCCCACCAAGGCGAUUACAGGUACGGGCUCUGAGAGGAGAAGCCCGGAGAUGGGUACUGAGACAAGGACCCAGGCCCUAUGGGGCGCAGCAGGCGAGAAAACUUUGCAAUGUGCGAAAGCACGACAAGGUUAGUCCGAGUGAUUUCUGCUAAAGAGAUCUUUUGCUAAUUAUAAAACCACUAGUGAAUAAGGGGUGGGCAAGUUCUGGUGUCAGCCGCCGCGGUAAAACCAGCACCUCAAGUGGUCAGGAUGAUUAUUGGGCCUAAAGCAUCCGUAGCCGGCUCUGUAAGUUUUCGGUUAAAUCUAUGCGCUCAACGUAUGGGCUGCCGAAAAUACUGUAGAGAUAGGGAGUGGGAGAGGUAGACGGUACUCGGUAGGAAGGGGUAAAAUCCUUUGAUCUAUCGAUGACCACCUGUGGCGAAGGCGGUCUACCAGAACACGUUCGACGGUGAGGGAUGAAAGCUGGGGGAGCAAACCGGAUUAGAUACCCGGGUAGUCCCAGCAGUAAACGAUGCAGACUCGAUGAUGCAUUGGCAUAUAGCCAGUGCAGUGUCGCAGGGAAGCCGUUAAGUCUGCCGCCUGGGAAGUACGUACGCAAGUAUGAAACUUAAAGGAAUUGGCGGGGGAGCACCACAAGGGGUGAAGCCUGCGGUUCAAUUGGAGUCAACGCCGGA
RNAcentral lists this ribosomal RNA (915 nucleotides) under uncultured archaeon. RNAcentral's name for it is "SSU rRNA". It matches the Rfam family "Archaeal small subunit ribosomal RNA", at positions 1 to 922 of the family's 1478-position model. The record is from RNAcentral.